UGGGGAAUAUUGCACAAUGGGCGCAAGCCUGAUGCAGCCAUGCCGCGUGUGUGAGGAAGGCCUUCGGGUUGUAAAGCACUUUCAGCGAGGAGGAAGGUGGUGAACUUAAUACGUUCAUCAAUUGACGUUACUCGCAGAAGAAGCACCGGCUAACUCCGUGCCAGCAGCCGCGGUAAUACGGAGGGUGCAAGCGUUAAUCGGAAUUACUGGGCGUAAAGCGCACGCAGGCGGUUUGUUAAGUCAGAUGUGAAAUCCCCGGGCUCAACCUGGGAACUGCAUUUGAAACUGGCAAGCUAGAGUCUCGUAGAGGAGGGUAGAAUUCCAGGUGUAGCGGUGAAAUGCGUAGAGAUCUGGAGGAAUACCGGUGGCGAAGGCGGCCCCCCUGGACGAAGACUGACGCUCAGGUGCGAAAAGCGUGGGGAGCAAAACAGGAUUAGAUACCCUGGUAGUCCACGCUGUAAAACGAUGUCGAUUUUGGAGGUUGUGCCCCUUGAGGCGUGGCUUCCGGAGCUAACGCGUUAAAUCGACCGCCU
Molecule: ribosomal RNA, 533 nt
Filed under: uncultured bacterium
Lineage: Bacteria
Description: partial 16S ribosomal RNA
Rfam family: Bacterial small subunit ribosomal RNA
Source: RNAcentral